Molecule: ribosomal RNA, 497 nt
Filed under: uncultured bacterium
Lineage: Bacteria
Description: partial 16S ribosomal RNA
Rfam family: Bacterial small subunit ribosomal RNA
Source: RNAcentral
GACGAACGCUGGCGGCGUGCCUAAUACAUGCAAGUUGAGCGCUGAAGGUUGGUACUUGUACCAACUGGAUGAGCAGCGAACGGGUGAGUAACGCGUGGGGAAUCUGCCUUUGAGCAGGGGACAACAUUUGGAAACGAAUGCUAAUACCGCAUAAAAACUUUAAACACAAGUUUUAAGUUUGAAAGAUGCAAUUGCAUCACUCAAAGAUGAUCCCGCGUUGUAUUAGCUAGUUGGUGAGGUAAAGGCUCACCAAGGCGAUGAUACAUAGCCGACCUGAGAGGGUGAUCGGCCACAUUGGGACUGAGACACGGCCCAAACUCCUACGGGAGGCAGCAGUAGGGAAUCUUCGGCAAUGGACGAAAGGCUGACCGAGCAACGCCGCGGGAGGGAAGAAGGUUUUCGGAUCGUAAAACUCUGUUGGUAGAGAAGAACGUUGGUGAGAGUGGAAAGCUCACCAAGUGACGGUAACUACCCAGAAAGGGACGGCUAACUACGUG